GGUUUUCACAGAGAAAUUUGUCUCGCCUCGAGACACCGGGCGAUAUUCCCCGUCUCGCUUCGACUCACGUUCACGUCGUCUUCUCUGCGGCGGCCGCGCCUAGACUUCUCCUCCGUCGCCGCCCCCUUCGCUCUGCUCUCGGCUGGACUUCUUCUCCGUCGCCAUCGCUCUGCGGCACCAGUACCUCCAUCUCCGCAGAUCCUGGGGCUGCAGACGGCCGCAUCUUCAUCUCUACUCCCCCUAUCCCCUCUCCGAGGACCGGUGGCAAGCUGACCGACAAGAGCUUCGUUAGGGAGGUGAGGCGCAGCUGCUUCAACUUCACCUGCGCCACCAAAGGCCAAGAAGGUUGAGCUCAAGGGCAAGGACGUUGCUGUCAAAGUAGUCAUUCCCAAGGCAAAUGUGCUGACCAUAUCCUUCUUCCGGUUCCCAAUGAGAAUGAUCGGUGGAAGCAAUGCAUGAUGUGAGAAAAGUGAUGCAGACUUGCUCAACAUUAUGUGCUUGAGGCCUCUGGUUAAAAUUGCUAUCAAAGGCAGAAAGAGAAUUGACAGUACAUAGUGCGCCUCAUUUCACCGAGCCGUAAUGCGGGUAUCGCCGAAUCUACGGCGCUUAAUUUCGUCACCAAACAUUUGGCUGGCUCUGGUGCAAGAAUUGAACUAGUAGCUGUUGUGGCUGCCAAAGCUUUGGCAUACCGUGGCGUAGGCAUUUGGCAGCUGCGGCGUGGCCACCUGCGGUGCGAGUUGGGCGCAAGCCAAACAGGCCCAGAGGAAAAAGAUGAUUCUUGAGUAGAAUUUCUAUACGAAUUUUUCGUACCCUGAUGCUUUAACUUAUUCAUUCAUAUUAUGUUUUCUGCUAUUUUGUGUAUGUAUCUUUGUUGGAAAAGUGUGGUACAGUGAUAAUCUAUAAAUCUAUACACGCAUAACUUAUAUGACAA
Long non-coding RNA from Sorghum bicolor (sorghum), 931 nucleotides. RefSeq lists it as uncharacterized. NCBI's taxonomy places the organism in Eukaryota, Viridiplantae, Streptophyta, Magnoliopsida, Poales, Poaceae. The transcript has 3 exons. The record is from RefSeq and is a predicted model, not a curated record.